GAUGAACGCUGGCGGCGUGCCUAAUACAUGCAAGUCGAGCGAACAGAUGAGGAGCUUGCUCCUCUGACGUUAGCGGCGGAAGGGUGAGUAACACGUGGAUAACCUACCUAUAAGACUGGGAUAACUUCGGGAAACCGGAGCUAAUACCGGAUAAUAUAUUGAACCGCAUGGUUCAAUAGUGAAAGACGGUUUUGCUGUCACUUAUAGAUGGAUCCGCGCCGCAUUAGCUAGUUGGUAAGGUAACGGCUUACCAAGGCAACGAUGCGUAGCCGACCUGUGAGGGUGAUCGGCCACACUGGAACUGAGACACGGUCCAGACUCCUACGGGAGGCAGCAGUAGGGAAUCUUCCGCAAUGGGCGAAAGCUUGACGGAGCAACGCCGCGUGAGUGAUGAAGGUCUUCGGAUCGUAAAACUCUGUUAUUAGGGAAGAACAAAUGUGUAAGUAACUAUGCACGUCUUGACGGUACCUAAUCAGAAAGCCACGGCUAACUACGUG
Molecule: ribosomal RNA, 497 nt
Filed under: uncultured bacterium
Lineage: Bacteria
Description: partial 16S ribosomal RNA
Rfam family: Bacterial small subunit ribosomal RNA
Source: RNAcentral